RNAcentral lists this ribosomal RNA (333 nucleotides) under uncultured cyanobacterium. RNAcentral's name for it is "bacterial SSU rRNA". It matches the Rfam family "Bacterial small subunit ribosomal RNA", at positions 1049 to 1383 of the family's 1533-position model. Lineage: Bacteria; Bacillati; Cyanobacteriota. The record is from RNAcentral.
CUGUCGUCAGCUCGUGUUGUGAGAUGUUGGGUUAAGUCCCCGCAACGAGCGCAACCCACGUCUUUAGUUGCCAGCAUUUAGUUGGGCACUCUAGAGAGGCCGCCGGUGAUAAACCGGAGGAAGGUGUGGAUGACGUCAAGUCAUCAUGCCCCUUACAUCCUGGGCUACACACGUACUACAAUGCUACGGACAAAGGGCAGCAAACUCGCGAGACAAGCAAAUCCCAUAAACCGUGGCUCAGUUCAGAUCGUAGGCUGCAACUCGCCUACGUGAAGGAGGAAUCGCUAGUAAUCGCAGGUCAACAUACUGCGGUGAAUACGUUCCCGGGCCUUG